AAAUGACUCUCGGCAACGGAUAUCUCGGCUCUUGCAUCGAUGAAGAACGUAGCGAAAUGCGAUACUUGGUGUGAAUUGCAGAAUCCCGUGAACCAUCGAGUCUUUGAACGCAAGUUGCGCCCGAAGCCAUUAGGUUGAGGGCACGCCUGCCUGGGUGUCACAU
Molecule: ribosomal RNA, 163 nt
Filed under: Vigna luteola
Lineage: Eukaryota; Viridiplantae; Streptophyta; Magnoliopsida; Fabales; Fabaceae
Also listed under: 1 other name
Description: 5.8S ribosomal RNA
Rfam family: 5.8S ribosomal RNA
About the family: 5.8S ribosomal RNA (5.8S rRNA) is a component of the large subunit of the eukaryotic ribosome. It is transcribed by RNA polymerase I as part of the 45S precursor that also contains 18S and 28S rRNA. Functionally, it is thought that 5.8S rRNA may be involved in ribosome translocation.
Source: RNAcentral